Molecule: non-coding RNA, 172 nt
Organism: Chelonoidis abingdonii (Abingdon island giant tortoise)
Lineage: Eukaryota; Metazoa; Chordata; Testudines; Testudinidae
Source: RefSeq, a predicted model, not a curated record
UUUUUCCAGAGUAAAAGUCUCUGUUGUCUCUAUUGUUGGCGUUUCUGUAGCAGGUUGAUUUUUUUUACGGGAUGGGGCUGCUAGCCCCACACCCAACCCUUCUCCUUUACCCUGACUUGGGACAGGCAGAUGGCCCCAAAGGACCUCUCUGGUGGAGCUGGUGUGCCACAGU